AAUGACCCGUCCAUUCGCCUUCUGAGCCAGCUGGCAAUCAUUCUCUUCUCUGAUCGCCACCCACCCACCCGCCUGCCCAAAACAGGUGUUGGCUCGAAGAGAUACCCAUCGCCCGAUCGCUGGAACCUACCUCCUCCAAGGAGGAGGAAACCAGGCAGCGAAUUCCUUCUUUCUCUCUCCCCCCCACUCCCCCGCAAAAAAGAAAAGCAAGCGGAAAGCAUGCCAGAGAAGGCUGUGUGUUCAAGCUAGACCGCAAAGACUCCUGUUUCUGGAUCAACUUCCUCUUGCUCAUCACUUGGCAGACCCUUGUGGGAAAUUGGUGAAGAGGAAGCUGAAGGUGGAUUUUCAAAGAUAUCUGCAUUUCCAAACAAAGCUUGGGGUUGCUUUAAAAAAAGCAUCAGGAAAAGGAAGCUGGAUUCACCAGAGAAGAUCCCC
This 435-nucleotide long non-coding RNA is filed under the name Naja naja (Indian cobra). RNAcentral describes it as "lncRNA (ENSNNAG00000005916.1)". The record is from RNAcentral. Lineage: Eukaryota; Metazoa; Chordata; Lepidosauria; Squamata; Elapidae.